RNAcentral lists this transfer RNA (73 nucleotides) under Pteropus alecto (black flying fox). It matches the Rfam family "tRNA". Rfam says of the family: Transfer RNA (tRNA) molecules are approximately 80 nucleotides in length. Lineage: Eukaryota; Metazoa; Chordata; Mammalia; Chiroptera; Pteropodidae. The record is from Rfam by way of RNAcentral.
GGUUCCAUAGUGUAGCGGUUAACAUGUCUGCUUUACAUGCAGAAAGUCCUGGGUUUACGCCCCAGUGGAGCCA